Molecule: ribosomal RNA, 99 nt
Filed under: uncultured bacterium
Lineage: Bacteria
Description: partial 16S ribosomal RNA
Source: RNAcentral
UACACACCGCCCGUNACACCAUGGGAUUGGUUNCACCAGAAGUAGAUAGUCUAAACCGCAAGGGGGGGCUCUACCACGGUGUGGUCAAUGACUGGGGUG